CCCUUAGAUGUUCUGGGCUGCACGCGCGCUACACUGACGCACGCAACAGGUGCCUGCUCCGAGAGGACUGGGUAAUCAUUUGAGUGUGCGUCGUGAUGGGGAUAGAAUAUUGUAAUUAUUACUCUUCAACGAGGAAUUCCUAGUAAGCGCAAGUCAGCAGCUUGCGCUGAUUACGUCCCUGCCCUUUGUACACACCGCCCGUCGCUACUACCGAUUGAACGGUUUAGUGAGGGCCUCGGAUUGGUCUCGGCCCGCUCUUUACCGGGCGGCGCCGUUGGUCGAGAAGACGCUCGAACUUGAUCGUUUAGAGGAAGUAAAAGUCGUAACA
RNAcentral lists this ribosomal RNA (328 nucleotides) under uncultured eukaryote. Its description in RNAcentral is "partial 18S ribosomal RNA". It matches the Rfam family "Eukaryotic small subunit ribosomal RNA", at positions 1470 to 1796 of the family's 1831-position model. The record is from RNAcentral.